RNAcentral lists this ribosomal RNA (305 nucleotides) under uncultured bacterium. Its description in RNAcentral is "bacterial SSU rRNA". It matches the Rfam family "Bacterial small subunit ribosomal RNA", at positions 337 to 640 of the family's 1533-position model. The record is from RNAcentral.
UCCUACGGGGGGCAGCAGUGAGGAAUAUUGGUCAAUGGCCGCAGGGCUGAACCAGCCAAGUCGCGUGAGGGAUGACGGUCCUAUGGAUUGUAAACCUCUUUUGUCAGGGAGCAAAGGGCGCCACGUGUGGCGUUUUGCGAGUACCUGAAGAAAAAGCAUCGGCUAACUCCGUGCCAGCAGCCGCGGUAAUACGGAGGAUGCGAGCGUUAUCCGGAUUUAUUGGGUUUAAAGGGUGCGCAGGCGGAAUGUCAAGUCAGCGGUAAAAUUUCGGGGCUCAACCCCGUCGCGUCGUUGAAACUGGCGUU